GGUUGCUGAUCUCUAUAAAUAAUUCACAUAGGAGAGAGUCUCUUCUAGUUGCUCACAGUCAUAUAAAGAUAUCCAGUCUCUACAAAACAUCUAUAUGAAGACUGACGCAGAUCAGGCUCCUUGGAAGUGCUAGCUUGCAAGGAUCUUCAAGGCUGAUUUCUCCCUUCUUCUUCACAAAUCUUGGAUGCCCCAAAGGAGAAGAAGACUUAGAGGAGGA
Molecule: long non-coding RNA, 217 nt
Filed under: Elaeis guineensis (African oil palm)
Lineage: Eukaryota; Viridiplantae; Streptophyta; Magnoliopsida; Arecales; Arecaceae
Description: long non-coding RNA (EGUI_LNC032909)
Source: RNAcentral